CCGGUCGUACAGUGGCUUUCCCCUCUGUGGAAGUCUCCUGUGCCCCUGAAAAUAAAGAUAUUGCUAUGGCAGUUGCUUUGGGACCGCUUGCCCUCGGGGAUAGAGGUCCGUAAGCGCAACGGCCUGGGCGGCGGCAUUUGCCCUCUCUGUAGUGUCCCGGAGACAGGCUCUCACAUCCUGUUUUCUUGCACGAUGGUGAGGGCGCUGUGGAGCUUUGUGUGGGAUGCACUCGGGCCCGACUGGGAGGCUAGAGACCUGGAGGGAUUCCUGCAGGCCAGGAUGACCCAGACUGGGCGCAAGCGCCGCCUAUUCUGGCUUAUAUUCGCGGCUGGACCCUAUGGACUACUCGCAAUAAAAUGGUGA
RNAcentral lists this ribosomal RNA (363 nucleotides) under Triticum aestivum (bread wheat). Its description in RNAcentral is "partial small subunit ribosomal RNA". The record is from RNAcentral. Lineage: Eukaryota; Viridiplantae; Streptophyta; Magnoliopsida; Poales; Poaceae.